This 511-nucleotide ribosomal RNA is filed under the name uncultured bacterium. RNAcentral's name for it is "bacterial SSU rRNA". It matches the Rfam family "Bacterial small subunit ribosomal RNA", at positions 17 to 518 of the family's 1533-position model. The record is from RNAcentral.
UUAUGGCUCAGGAUGAACGCUAGCUACAGGCUUAACACAUGCAAGUCGAGGGGCAGCAUGACGAUAGCUUGCUAUGUGAUGGCGACCGGCGCACGGGUGAGUAACGCGUAUCCAACCUUCCCUAUAGUAGAGGAUAGCCCGGCGAAAGUCGGAUUAAUACUCUAUGUUUUCCAAUGCAGACAUCUAAGUUGGAACAAAGGUUCACCGCUAUAGGAUGGGGAUGCGUCUGAUUAGGUAGUAGGCGGGGUAACGGCCCACCUAGCCGACGAUCAGUAGGGGUUCUGAGAGGAAGGUCCCCCACAUUGGAACUGAGACACGGUCCAAACUCCUACGGGAGGCAGCAGUGAGGAAUAUUGGUCAAUGGGCGAGAGCCUGAACCAGCCAAGUAGCCGUGCAGGAUGACGGCCCUAUGGGUUGUAAACUGCUUUUAUACGGGGAUAAAGUGAGGGACGUGUCCCUUUUUGUAGGUACCGUAUGAAUAAGGACCGGCUAAUUCCGUGCCAGCAGCAGC